AAAGGAAAAGGGGUUGGGUGGGAAAUGCAGAUGAGGGAAUGGGGUUAAUUGUUUUUUCAUUUUGCGUGUUUCACAGGGCUCUCAGUGAGUCAGUGUAUUGACUAGGUCUUUGUGAAUUGUGGAUCCAGGGACACAUUGGGGGGUGGGGAGGAAGAAACAAGAUGUGGUUAACUGACGUGUUCCAUUGAAGACUGAAUUAUUAUUGAGGGUAGGGUU
Telopea speciosissima is the source of this 216-nucleotide long non-coding RNA. RefSeq lists it as uncharacterized. The record is from RefSeq and is a predicted model, not a curated record. Lineage: Eukaryota; Viridiplantae; Streptophyta; Magnoliopsida; Proteales; Proteaceae. The transcript has 2 exons.